RNAcentral lists this ribosomal RNA (2907 nucleotides) under Klebsiella sp. BDA134-6. RNAcentral's name for it is "23S ribosomal RNA". It matches the Rfam family "Bacterial large subunit ribosomal RNA". Lineage: Bacteria; Pseudomonadati; Pseudomonadota; Gammaproteobacteria; Enterobacterales; Enterobacteriaceae. The record is from RNAcentral.
GGUUAAGCGACUAAGCGUACACGGUGGAUGCCCUGGCAGUCAGAGGCGAUGAAGGACGUGCUAAUCUGCGAAAAGCGUCGGUAAGGUGAUAUGAACCGUUACAGCCGGCGAUGUCCGAAUGGGGAAACCCAGUGCAAUUCGUUGCACUAUCGUUUGAUGAAUACAUAGUCAAACGAGGCGAACCGGGGGAACUGAAACAUCUAAGUACCCCGAGGAAAAGAAAUCAACCGAGAUUCCCCCAGUAGCGGCGAGCGAACGGGGAGCAGCCCGGAGUCUGAAUCAGCUUGUGUGUUAGUGGAAGCGUCUGGAAAGUCGCAGGGUACAGGGUGAUACUCCCGUACACUAAAACGCACAGGCUGUGAACUCGAAGAGUAGGGCGGGACACGUGGUAUCCUGUCUGAAUAUGGGGGGACCAUCCUCCAAGGCUAAAUACUCCUGACUGACCGAUAGUGAACCAGUACCGUGAGGGAAAGGCGAAAAGAACCCCGGCGAGGGGAGUGAAAAAGAACCUGAAACCGUGUACGUACAAGCAGUAGGAGCCCACUUGUUGGGUGACUGCGUACCUUUUGUAUAAUGGGUCAGCGACUUAUAUUCUGUAGCAAGGUUAACCGUAUAGGGGAGCCGCAGGGAAACCGAGUCUUAACUGGGCGUUAAGUUGCAGGGUAUAGACCCGAAACCCGGUGAUCUAGCCAUGGGCAGGUUGAAGGUUGGGUAACACUAACUGGAGGACCGAACCGACUAAUGUUGAAAAAUUAGCGGAUGACUUGUGGCUGGGGGUGAAAGGCCAAUCAAACCGGGAGAUAGCUGGUUCUCCCCGAAAGCUAUUUAGGUAGCGCCUCGUGAACUCAUCUUCGGGGGUAGAGCACUGUUUCGGCUAGGGGGUCAUCCCGACUUACCAACCCGAUGCAAACUACGAAUACCGAAGAAUGUUAUCACGGGAGACACACGGCGGGUGCUAACGUCCGUCGUGAAGAGGGAAACAACCCAGACCGCCAGCUAAGGUCCCAAAGUCAUGGUUAAGUGGGAAACGAUGUGGGAAGGCCCAGACAGCCAGGAUGUUGGCUUAGAAGCAGCCAUCAUUUAAAGAAAGCGUAAUAGCUCACUGGUCGAGUCGGCCUGCGCGGAAGAUGUAACGGGGCUAAACCAUGCACCGAAGCUGCGGCAGCGACACUAUGUGUUGUUGGGUAGGGGAGCGUUCUGUAAGCCGUUGAAGGUGGCCUGUGAGGGUUGCUGGAGGUAUCAGAAGUGCGAAUGCUGACAUAAGUAACGAUAAUGCGCGUGAAAAACCCGCACGCCGGAAGACCAAGGGUUCCUGUCCAACGUUAAUCGGGGCAGGGUGAGUCGACCCCUAAGGCGAGGCCGAAAGGCGUAGUCGAUGGGAAACAGGUUAAUAUUCCUGUACUUGGUGUUACUGCGAAGGGGGGACGGAGAAGGCUAUGUUGGCCGGGCGACGGUUGUCCCGGUUUAAGCAUGUAGGCGGAUGUUCCAGGUAAAUCCGGAACGUUAUUAACGCUGAGGUGUGAUGACGAGGCACUACGGUGCUGAAGUGACAAAUGCCCUGCUUCCAGGAAAAGCCUCUAAGCAUCAGGUAACAUCAAAUCGUACCCCAAACCGACACAGGUGGUCAGGUAGAGAAUACCAAGGCGCUUGAGAGAACUCGGGUGAAGGAACUAGGCAAAAUGGUGCCGUAACUUCGGGAGAAGGCACGCUGAUACGUAGGUGAAGUGGUUUACCCAUGGAGCUGAAAUCAGUCGAAGAUACCAGCUGGCUGCAACUGUUUAUUAAAAACACAGCACUGUGCAAACACGAAAGUGGACGUAUACGGUGUGACGCCUGCCCGGUGCCGGAAGGUUAAUUGAUGGGGUUAUCCGUAAGGAGAAGCUCUUGAUCGAAGCCCCGGUAAACGGCGGCCGUAACUAUAACGGUCCUAAGGUAGCGAAAUUCCUUGUCGGGUAAGUUCCGACCUGCACGAAUGGCGUAAUGAUGGCCAGGCUGUCUCCACCCGAGACUCAGUGAAAUUGAACUCGCUGUGAAGAUGCAGUGUACCCGCGGCAAGACGGAAAGACCCCGUGAACCUUUACUAUAGCUUGACACUGAACACUGGUCCUUGAUGUGUAGGAUAGGUGGGAGGCUUUGAAGCGUGGACGCCAGUCUGCGUGGAGCCAUCCUUGAAAUACCACCCUUUAAUGGCUGGUGUUCUAACGUGGGCCCCUAAUCGGGGUUGCGGACAGUGUCUGGUGGGUAGUUUGACUGGGGCGGUCUCCUCCUAAAGAGUAACGGAGGAGCACGAAGGUCAGCUAAUCCUGGUCGGACAUCAGGAGGUUAGUGCAAUGGCAUAAGCUGGCUUGACUGCGAGCGUGACGGCGCGAGCAGGUGCGAAAGCAGGUCAUAGUGAUCCGGUGGUUCUGAAUGGAAGGGCCAUCGCUCAACGGAUAAAAGGUACUCCGGGGAUAACAGGCUGAUACCGCCCAAGAGUUCAUAUCGACGGCGGUGUUUGGCACCUCGAUGUCGGCUCAUCACAUCCUGGGGCUGAAGUAGGUCCCAAGGGUAUGGCUGUUCGCCAUUUAAAGUGGUACGCGAGCUGGGUUUAGAACGUCGUGAGACAGUUCGGUCCCUAUCUGCCGUGGGCGCUGGAGAAUUGAGGGGGGCUGCUCCUAGUACGAGAGGACCGGAGUGGACGCAUCACUGGUGUUCGGGUUGUCAUGCCAAUGGCAUUGCCCGGUAGCUAAAUGCGGAAGAGAUAAGUGCUGAAAGCAUCUAAGUACGAAACUUGCCCCGAGAUGAGUUCUCCCUGACCCUUUAAGGGUCCUGAAGGAACGUUGAAGACGACGACGUUGAUAGGCCGGGUGUGUAAGCGCAGCGAUGCGUUGAGCUAACCGGUACUAAUGAACCGUGAGGCUUAACCUU